RNAcentral lists this transfer RNA (77 nucleotides) under Desulfotalea psychrophila. Its description in RNAcentral is "tRNA-Ile". It matches the Rfam family "tRNA". From Rfam's summary of the family: Transfer RNA (tRNA) molecules are approximately 80 nucleotides in length. Their secondary structure includes four short double-helical elements and three loops (D, anti-codon, and T loops). RNAcentral also lists the same sequence under 3 other names. Lineage: Bacteria; Pseudomonadati; Thermodesulfobacteriota; Desulfobulbia; Desulfobulbales; Desulfocapsaceae. The record is from RNAcentral.
GGGCCUGUAGCUCAGCUGGUUAGAGCGCACGCCUGAUAAGCGUGAGGUCGGAGGUUCAAGUCCUCCCAGGCCCACCA